RNAcentral lists this ribosomal RNA (292 nucleotides) under uncultured bacterium. RNAcentral's name for it is "partial 16S ribosomal RNA". It matches the Rfam family "Bacterial small subunit ribosomal RNA", at positions 505 to 796 of the family's 1533-position model. The record is from RNAcentral.
GUGCCAGCCGCCGCGGUAAUACGGAGGGUGCAAGCGUUGUCCGGAAUCAUUGGGUGUAAAGGGUGCGUAGGCUGGCAUCUAAGUCUGGGGUGAAAUCUUGCCGCUUAACGGUAAAAUUGCCCUGGAUACUGGAUGUCUUGAAUCUGACAGAGGUCGGUGGAAUUCGUGGUGUAGCGGUGAAAUGCAUAGAUAUCACGAAGAACACCAGUGGCGAAGGCGGCCGGCUGGGUCAGUAUUGACGCUGAGGCACGAGAGCGUGGGGAGCGAACAGGAUUAGAUACCCUGGUAGUCC